This 119-nucleotide ribosomal RNA is filed under the name Musa acuminata subsp. malaccensis (wild Malaysian banana). The record is from RNAcentral. Lineage: Eukaryota; Viridiplantae; Streptophyta; Magnoliopsida; Zingiberales; Musaceae.
GGGUGUGAUCAUACCAGCACUAAAGCACCGAAUCCCAUCAGAACACCAAAGUUUAGCUUGCUUGGGUGAGAGUAGUACUAGGAUGGGUGAUACCCUAGGAAGUCCUCGUGUUGCACACC